CGUCUAAUUUAAUAAGGGCAAUAUCGUUGUUUCGAGUUUCCAGGUCGUAAUCUUCGUGUACAAUUGCGGCGGAUCCCCUUAAAGUUAUCCAGUAAUGGCCCGGUUCCCAAUUACUGACAUUUCUCGCGCCAAAUAGCAGAAAGAGCAAAUGUAGGACAUGGACGGGAGAACGAUGACUUACGUGUGUUUCCGAAAACAUUGGGCGGCAGUAAGAACAUAAUUUGGUGAUAUUACCGACCCGCCACAGAACGAGUACCCACGAUCCAGAUGCUUAUGGAGGAAUAUAGCUACUUGGUAGGGAAACUGAAAGGCACUGGAAUUGGUGCCUCCCACAACCCGGAGACUGUUCUUAUCAUCUACAACUUCAGCCAUCGACAUCUAGAAAAUAUUUAGAUAUAAUUAAAAAACCAAUAGUAGGGUAUCCAUAUGGGAGAAAUAGACAAAAGGGCAAGCUUACCCAUAUCUGGAAUGAUAUCGCGAUACUCAGCACAAACAAGUUCGCAUGAGUUCGAGCCAUAAUCAUACGAGCUACACUAAUAACCUUUUCAAUGCAAAUUCUAUUAAAAUGUACGUAUAUGACGUUGAAAGUAAUUUAAGUUUUGGAUUUUUCAAGUACCAAACACUUAGAAAUUGUUAUCGCAAUCAGCAGCUACGGUAAAUAUGUACUCACUCACUUUCAAAUUUGGCAACGUACAUUAGUUUUGGUUACGGUAUCCAGAAUCGCGUCCUAGUUAAAACAAAUAUUAAUGAAGGCUUUGUAGCACAUGUUUUAGAAUAUUUUAAAGUAGAAUCCGAUUAAAGAACGUACUACCUU
Molecule: long non-coding RNA, 814 nt
Organism: Cylas formicarius (sweet potato weevil)
Lineage: Eukaryota; Metazoa; Arthropoda; Insecta; Coleoptera; Brentidae
Exons: 2
Source: RefSeq, a predicted model, not a curated record